Molecule: RNA transcript, 2233 nt
Organism: Vicia villosa (hairy vetch)
Lineage: Eukaryota; Viridiplantae; Streptophyta; Magnoliopsida; Fabales; Fabaceae
Gene name: DEAD-box ATP-dependent RNA helicase 32-like
Exons: 5
Source: RefSeq, a predicted model, not a curated record
CACAGACUUUUUUUACUGACACACGCUGAGGGAUUCGGCAAUAAAUGUGAUGUAAGCUACAAGAAUGUUUUGGUGGUUGAAAAGUUAUUAAAUCUGGGUGGUUGAAUAGUUAUUAAAUUUGUGUAUAAAAUCUUAAAUUCGUUUAGGUGGUUGAAUACUUAUUAAAUUUGUGUAUAAAAAGCACCCAAUUUGUAUAUAAGUAGAAUGUUACAUGUUAGAAUUCACACCUACAUUUAUCUAUUUAUGAAGUUACAUGUUACAACACUUAACCAACCUAACCCACUGCAAAAUCUUUAACUCCAUCUUCCUACUGCUCCCACUUUUUCUUAUCUCUCAAAACCGAUCUCGAAAUUCAUUUCUCCCCCAUGAAAACACUGCUGAAGUAGGUUCAUUUCUUCCCCCAUGAAAACACUGCUGAAGUAGGUUCAUUUCUCGCUCAUCAUCACCUAAUUUCUAGAUUAUUUUCUUUUUUACUCUUAAUACUUUAUUAUCUUUUGAAUUUUUUUUCUUCUGUUGAUUAACAUUGUACUUUCCGUAGCAGUUAUUUGAUGUUGUUGCUGCUGUGCCAAGAGUACAUUUGAGGGAAGAGAGGAGAUAAGGCAGCGUUGAAGAUUCAUCACCAUGAACCCCUCAAACCCUCCCUCAAAUCCUCCUCCAAAUCCUCCCCCAAACACUCCCAAUACAACAAUUCCUAAACUCUUACAGUUUUUAUUUGGCCUAAUAGGUUGUUUUUCUUUGGCUCUUUUGUUAGGUAUGUAUCUCAUUUCAGGAGAUACUAGGAGUUUAGUAGGUGAUAUAAAAUGUAAUCCAAAUGUAAAAUUUGUAGGACUUCUUUUUAUUUUUGAAAUAUUUGCUUUUUCUUGUUAUUUUGUUUCUGCUUGUCUUACUGCGGCUCUAAGAGCAUUGUUUGGUAAUCCUCAAAGGUUUACACCAGCAUUUAUUAGCAGGUUUAGAUUUGCGACACAAGUUUGUCUAGGGUUUUUUGGGGUCGCCAACCUUUUUUUCAUCCUCUCACUUGUAUUUAUCAUUGAGACCCGACUAGGACUCCUCUCAUGCCACAUUGCAUUAUCGACACUAGGGGUUUCCGUGCUUGUCAUCCUCACUGGUGGUGCUACCUUGACGAUUGUUAUUUGGUUUGGUAGAGAGAUUCAUAAACAAGUUGUUAUUUAGGUAUAAGUAUUUUAGCUUUUUUAUUUUAGUUUUUAUUAUGUAUUUUUAGCUCAAUUUGUUUGCAUCGUUUUCUUUAUUUCAUAACUGCCCAAUUUUCUUCUUCAUUCUCCUUCAACCGAUCCUCUUCCAAAUUUCAAAACGGUUUCUUCUCAUUAUUCUACAACCGUUUCAUCUGCCAUGACUCACAUACAUAACCCUAAAUACUUCAUGCUCCUUUACCUUAGCGACACAAAAGCAGAUUCAAUCAAUUGAUUAGGUCUAGCAAUAGCAACGAGAAUUUCUGAGCUGCCACUCCUACUCUCUUGAAGCAAAUUGUGAUGAUUGUUCCUCUGGAUCAAAAGUUAGAUAUGCUAUGGACUUUCAUAAAAGACCCAUCUACAGUUCAGAACAAUUGUCUUUCUAUCAAGUUGUAAAACAGUUUGCAGCUGAAAAAUUAAGUACUCAAUCAAUCUGGCCCUUAGUCUGCAUUUGUGGAACUUCUGUUCUGGUUUAUCAGCUGUACCGUUGAAGUGCUUCCAUGGGAGGAUGAAACAAGAAAAAAGAAUGGCAAUAUAUUCCGCGUUCUGUGAGAAUCACUCAGUUCUCUUCGCAACUGAUGUGGCUGCAAGAGGCCUUGAUUUUAAUAAAGCAGUUGACUGGGUUGUUCAGACUCGUUUAUUAAAGAAAAAAAAGCUCAAGAUUAACGUGCAUAGACCACUUGGAAAUCGGGUUGUAUUCGAUGACGAAGGCAACACACUCCCUCCACUAGCCAGGAUUGCUGGCACACAAAGUGGCUAGGAUUCAUUGCUAAUUGAUCCAGAACAAAAAGCUGAAUACUAUAAAAGGAUGCGAGAGGAUUUGAAGAAGGCAGACAAGGAAGACAAAAUUGUGGUUGUGCGAGAGGAUUUGAAGAAGGCAGACAAGGAAGACAAAAUUGUGGUUGUGUAAAUAUAUUGGUUUUAAUAUUCUCGCAGUCACUCCCCAGCUAGUAUUAUAUGCAUUUGUAGAUUUCUAGACUUGUGUUGCAUGUUGUCAUUAUUGGGUCUUUAUUCUAAGUAUGCACGCUUAGUUGAAAAGUGUAAUA